AUGACUAUAUCAGCAAGGUAUCUAGAUAAUCUAAUUCAGUACAAAGCAAAUAAUAGUAUGUCAUAUAAUCAAACCUUGAGAGAAUCAUUUUUCUCAACUAAGAGAAAAUAGAAUUACAUAUUUGAAGUAUUAUUACCCCUAAUCAAUGCAUAAGAGUCUAGUGAACUACCACCAUACAUAAUAAUACAUGAUACAAAAUUAAACUACACUCUUGGCCUUUGUUCAGUUCCGAUAAUCAGAACACUAUUUACAAGUUACAACAAGUAACAUAUUUUCAAGGUCCACUUUUCCUACAAAUGAGAAAGAAAAAGGUUUGUAGAAAAAGAUGACCCCUAGUACACACAUAACAGCUCUAUAAUCAAACAUACAAACAGUGCUCCAUCCAACAAUGGAUGAAGCAAAGUGGCUCCGGCAACGAAUGCGAAAAGUACCUGAGUAGGGAGGAACUGUUGUUCAAGCCAAAAAAUAUUGGUUGAUCCACUCGGCUAACUUUCCAGUUCGACAACUUCUGUAUAAACUUUUUGUACAAACUACUUGUCAGCUGCAUCUUGUCCUUUCUGCUCUGAUUUUUCAACUCUUUGAUUCACUUGAUGCUUUGAAUUCGGAUCAACAAGAAGCAAGCGCGACAUAACAUACGACAAGAGUUCUUCACGGUGCGAGAACGUGAAGUCUAAAUGUGCAUAUUCAAACUGAUUAUACGAAACAUUUACAUCGGCACUUUUCAUCAAUCUAUAGUGUCUCUUUACCAUUGAAGGUCUUAUAACUUUGUCUUUAUGUCCGGCAACAAGAUCAACAGGAAUGUCGAU
This 806-nucleotide long non-coding RNA is filed under the name Medicago truncatula (barrel medic). RNAcentral describes it as "lncRNA gene37568". The record is from RNAcentral. Lineage: Eukaryota; Viridiplantae; Streptophyta; Magnoliopsida; Fabales; Fabaceae.